CCAAAAUGUGCGUCAUGGUUUCGUCACUCGGGUGGAUAAUAAGGGAAAAUUGAGGACAAAUAACAACGACAAAACAACAAAUAGCUGCAGCUGGGAUGGAGGGUUCCCAGUUGGUUCUCACCCACGGGCUGACUGGGAGAUGUCUGCUCCAAGCAACACUGAAAGAUCAGCUGCAGAGUGGCAUCAACUGGAGUGGAAAUGAUCCAAAUGAUGGCAAAGUGCCGCUAAUUGCCUCUCAAGGUGGUCUUUGUUUUGUUUCACCUCUCUCGCCACAGCCGCUGCCUCUAUAGGACGAGCUCUCUAAAACCCCAGAAGGGCUGCAAUUACAUUAUCAGCCUUUAUGAAAUGAAUCAUCCAAACUAUUAAAAAAGAGAA
Oreochromis aureus is the source of this 375-nucleotide long non-coding RNA. RefSeq lists it as uncharacterized. Lineage: Eukaryota; Metazoa; Chordata; Actinopteri; Cichliformes; Cichlidae. The transcript has 3 exons. The record is from RefSeq and is a predicted model, not a curated record.